Molecule: ribosomal RNA, 603 nt
Filed under: uncultured Bacillota bacterium
Lineage: Bacteria; Bacillati; Bacillota
Description: bacterial SSU rRNA
Rfam family: Bacterial small subunit ribosomal RNA
Source: RNAcentral
GAGGAGCCUGCGGCGGAUUAGCUAGUUGGUAGGGUAACGGCUUACCAAGACAACGAUCCGUAGCCGGCCUGAGAGGGCGGUCGGCCACACUGACACUGACAUACGGGUCAGACUCCUACGGGAGGCAGCAGUCGGGAAUUUUGGGCAAUGGGCGAAAGCCUGACCCAGCAACGCCGCGUGAAGGAUGAAAUCCCUCGGGAUGUAAACUUCGCAAGAACGGGAAGAAUAAGUCUGUGUGAAUAUCGCAGAUGAUGACGGUACCGUUUGUAAGCUCCGGCUAACUCCGUGCCAGCAGCCGCGGUAAUACGGGGGAGCAAGCGUUGUUCGGAUUUAUUGGGCGUAAAGCGCGCGCAGGCGGUCCUUUAAGUCUGAUGUGAAAGCCCACGGCUCAACCGUGGAGGGUCAUUGGAAACUGGGGGACUUGAGUGCAGAAGAGGAAAGCGGAAUUCCACGUGUAGCGGUGAAAUGCGUAGAGAUGUGGAGGAACACCAGUGGCGAAGGCGGCUUUCUGGUCUGUAACUGACGCUGAGGCGCGAAAGCGUGGGGAGCAAACAGGAUUAGAUACCCUGGUAGUCCACGCCGUAAACGAUGAGUGCUAAGUGU